Molecule: transfer RNA, 80 nt
Filed under: Dreissena polymorpha
Lineage: Eukaryota; Metazoa; Mollusca; Bivalvia; Myida; Dreissenidae
Rfam family: tRNA
About the family: Transfer RNA (tRNA) molecules are approximately 80 nucleotides in length. Their secondary structure includes four short double-helical elements and three loops (D, anti-codon, and T loops). Further hydrogen bonds mediate the characteristic L-shaped molecular structure. tRNAs have two regions of fundamental functional importance: the anti-codon, which is responsible for specific mRNA codon recognition, and the 3' end, to which the tRNAs corresponding amino acid is attached (by aminoacyl-tRNA synthetases). tRNAs cope with the degeneracy of the genetic code in two manners: having more than one tRNA (with a specific anti-codon) for a particular amino acid; and 'wobble' base-pairing, i.e. permitting non-standard base-pairing at the 3rd anti-codon position.
Source: Rfam by way of RNAcentral
GCCAGAGUAGUAGAAUGUAUAACGCUUUCUCCAGUCCUGUGCUGGUUGAAAAGAUCCAGGUUCAAGUCCUGGCUUUGGCA